Molecule: long non-coding RNA, 2534 nt
Organism: Bombus huntii
Lineage: Eukaryota; Metazoa; Arthropoda; Insecta; Hymenoptera; Apidae
Exons: 3
Source: RefSeq, a predicted model, not a curated record
AUACCUAUUAUGGAUUAUUUAUGUUUUUAUUUCAUUGACUCAGAUAAAUUUUUUGACAGCAUAUGUACAUGAAUCAUACUUAUUUAUAUACUCACAAUGUGUUUCAUCGAAUGACAAAUAUGUAACACUAAUUUCUGUGAUGGUAGAUGGAAAUGAGAUAUCACUAAGUAGGUCAGGGUCACUGUUGAUAAUAUUUCUUUUAAAAUGUUAUCAAGCGAUUAUGUUGUUUCCUUACAUGACAAAAAAACUUACAAAUUUUUUUUAUUUCUUUUUAUUUAAUAUUUCACAUUCACAAUUUGUCUAAUUUGGACAUUUGGUUGAAUUUUUUAGCUGUUUGAUUAUCAUGUGGGUGGCUACCCCCAGCGGGGUACCAUCUUCGUGUUUGUUAGGUUAUAUCCUUUAUGAACUUACAAAUUUGAAGUUACUAUUGAUAAAUGCUUAAGUCAAAUACUCUUCAGGUCUAAAUGGAUUAUUUGACAUGUGGUAAAAAAAGUUUUACUUUCUUUAUAAUUUAAUUUGCUCAGAUUUGUAAUAAAAUAUAAAACUAAUAUUUUGUACAUUAAUUACUUAAAUGAUCAAUUUCGAAACACACUGUUCAGAAUCUAUCACUGUAGACUAAUAACAAUAUUACGUGCCUAUCUUUAUUUAUUUUCUACUAGCACGUCUAGGAGAAUCUACACGUGCAUAUUAUUCUUAGAAUAUUUCUGUCGCUUUUUUACUGGUAGAGCAUAUUCUAAUUAGCGGUACCUCCUAAUUCAUGCGUAGGUCUCGCGUCUAACGUAAACAUCGAUCGAAACAAGUCGCUAGUACAAGACGUAAUUCGUCGCUAUUCUACAAAUAUUUUGAUAGAGCCCAUGCAUUUAUGUAAUUUCUAUUAUAUAUUCAAAUCUUAACUAGGAAUUUUUUUGAAACUAUAAAAAAAAAUACAUUGCACUCUAAUGCAAAAUAACAAGAACAUCAAAAUUUGUUUCUUUCGUGGAAUUGGAAUUUUAUAUAUAUAGAAGAACGAAUAGAAUUCGAAGAAAGAAAUUACACAAAUGACUUUCAAAUAAAUCAACGUUACAUUUUUGAAAAUUAUUUCAAUGAACAAACAGAAUUUGCGUGAAUCUACUAGUUACAGAGAAAACAUGUAAUAGAUAUGUGUAAAUAUUUAUGUUAACAGCAAUUUAAUGAUGUUUGUUGGAAAAUACGAGGAAACCCACAUUUUUCCGAUAAUAAUAGUCACAAUAUCAUUGCCCUGUUUAUGUUUGUAAUAUAAACCCCAUUUGUGAUAUAGAGUGGAAUACCAAUGAGAUUUAAAAUUCAUGUUCGUUUGAUCUGUUCGAUCAUACCUACAAUCGAAUGCGUACUUCGUGAUUGGCUGUUCGUUCGUUACCGAUCCUUGAUAGGUUCGCUCUGUCCACUGCCAGGGAUUUUCUGAGUUUGUUUAUCGCGUUUUUAUAUUCGUUCAGACGUUUCUUCUUGCAGUCUGCGUUUAACUUUAGAAGAGAAUUGACCAGUAAAACGAGCCGAUCGUCACCAUGCGUAUAUUUAUUGUCAAUUAAAAAUCGGUCAGUAUAUCCUUGCAAGUGAGCAAGCCUCCUUACGCGGAAGCAAGGUGGUCAGCCUAAGCAGCGGCGCGCUCAGUGAUCCUCAAUUCGAACGAUACAUGGGCUACAGCUUAGUUCGUACACAAUCGUGGAAGAGAAGAAAUGGUGGAUUGAACAUUAAACCAGCUUACUCGUGGAAAUCCAUAAGAACAUGUCGAAAACUACCAUAUCGUAAUUGCAAGUGGAAAGGAUUACCUUUUCCUCCUUCGAAUCCUUUGCCUCCGCGAAUGACCACAGCAAAAUGACACACGCACCGCGAUUGUCUUGGUGACGAGUAGGUACAAAAAUGCAACAGAUUGUAAUAGACGUUUGACAUUUUUUUGUAAACAAAGCAUGCCUCUUCUCUCCAAAUUCUACCGUAUUGUGUCUUUAUGUUUCUCCAGUAGUAAAAGUCGAAAGGAUUUAAAUCUGAAGACCAAGCAGGUCAAGGCACAGGUCCUUUUCGACUUAUCCACCUGUUUCCAAAGCAGCCGAACCAGUACUGUUGCACUGCUUUGAUAGAAUAAGGUGGUGCAGCAUCUUGCAUGAACUAUUUCUGAAUGCGUGUGGAUUUUCUCUUGCCCAGAAAUUUCUCUGAAACUUCCACGUUGACCGUCAGAAUAACUCUGUUCUUCCAAAACUGGUUUCCCUUUUGCUCCAAAAUGCCUAUAACAUGACUAUGUAGCAAUAGAGAAAUUAUUCCGAAAGAGAUAUUUACAAUACACUUUGCCAAUGCUUUAAACAUCUUCGUAUGACACGUAAUUAUCGAGGAAUUGCAAUGAUAUUUGAGAAGUUCUUUUUGAAAGCAAGGGUAUGGUGAUGAGGAAGCUGUGCACCAGAUGUGUUUAAAGAAAACGGAGACCUAUUUUGCACAAUCUUCAAACCUUAUAUAGCAAGAGAUUUAUUAUUAAGAUUUACAAUACAAUCUAUUUUGCCAGUUUCCAAUAAUAAUUUGUUACUAAAUUG